RNAcentral lists this ribosomal RNA (465 nucleotides) under uncultured bacterium. RNAcentral's name for it is "partial 16S ribosomal RNA". It matches the Rfam family "Bacterial small subunit ribosomal RNA", at positions 28 to 507 of the family's 1533-position model. The record is from RNAcentral.
GACGAACGCUGGCGGCGUGCUUAACACAUGCAAGUCGAACGGAAAGGCCCCUUUGGGGGUACUCGAGUGGCGAACGGGUGAGUAACACGUGAGUAACCUGCCCUUGACUUCGGGAUAACUUCAGGAAACUGGGGCUAAUACCGGAUAGGAAUCCUUGCUGCAUGGUGGGGGUUGGAAAGCUUCGGCGGUUUUGGAUGGACUCGCGGCUUAUCAGCUUGUUGGUGGGGUAGUGGCUUACCAGGGCUUUGACGGGUAGCCGGCCUGAGAGGGCGACCGGCCACAUUGGGACUGAGAUACGGCCCAGACUCCUACGGGAGGCAGCAGUGGGGAAUAUUGCACAAUGGGCGGAAGCCUGAUGCAGCAACGCCGCGUGCGGGAGGACGGCCUUCGGGUUGUAAACCGCUUUCAGCAGGGGCGAAGCUUGUGGUGACGGUACCUGCAGAAGAAGCACCGGCUAACUACGUG